AUUGGCUUGGCCAAAAAGUUCAUUUGGGUUUUUCUGUAAGAUCUUAUAAAAACCCAAACAAACUUUUUGGCCAACCUAAU
This 80-nucleotide microRNA precursor is filed under the name Tursiops truncatus (common bottlenose dolphin). Its description in RNAcentral is "miRNA (ENSTTRG00000025252.1)". Lineage: Eukaryota; Metazoa; Chordata; Mammalia; Artiodactyla; Delphinidae. The record is from RNAcentral.